GUGCCAGCAGCCGCGGUAAUACGAAGGGGGCUAGCGUUGCUCGGAAUUACUGGGCGUAAAGGGAGCGUAGGCGGACAUUUAAGUCAGGGGUGAAAUCCCGGGGCUCAACUCGGAAUUGCUUGAUACUGGUUUUGAGUAUGAGAGAGGUGUGUGGAUCCGAGUGUAGAG
RNAcentral lists this ribosomal RNA (168 nucleotides) under uncultured Caulobacterales bacterium. RNAcentral's name for it is "partial 16S ribosomal RNA". It matches the Rfam family "Bacterial small subunit ribosomal RNA", at positions 505 to 680 of the family's 1533-position model. The record is from RNAcentral. Lineage: Bacteria; Pseudomonadati; Pseudomonadota; Alphaproteobacteria; Caulobacterales.